GCCCAGAUAGUUCAGUUGGUAGAGCAUCAGACUUUUAACCUGACGGGUUCAAGGUUCCAGGGUUCAAAUCCUUGUUCAGG
This 80-nucleotide transfer RNA is filed under the name Cervus elaphus hippelaphus. RNAcentral describes it as "tRNA-Lys". It matches the Rfam family "tRNA". From Rfam's summary of the family: Transfer RNA (tRNA) molecules are approximately 80 nucleotides in length. Their secondary structure includes four short double-helical elements and three loops (D, anti-codon, and T loops). Lineage: Eukaryota; Metazoa; Chordata; Mammalia; Artiodactyla; Cervidae. The record is from RNAcentral.